Long non-coding RNA from Oxyura jamaicensis (ruddy duck), 499 nucleotides. RefSeq lists it as uncharacterized. The transcript is spliced from 3 exons. The record is from RefSeq and is a predicted model, not a curated record. NCBI's taxonomy places the organism in Eukaryota, Metazoa, Chordata, Aves, Anseriformes, Anatidae.
GUUUAGUAACCUGGGGUUAAGAUAACUCUGCCACCCGGGUUCAUAAAGCAGCAGAUAAUUUAGCUGUUAAUUGUUAAUUUCACGGAUUAUCUCAAUUUGCUGAAACGAGGUAAAACUUUAACAGAAGUUUUGCUGCCUAAACGCACAGAGGUUUUAUCUUUCCGUAGCUUUCCUUGUUUAGAUAUUAAAAAGAACCAAGUUCCUUUCUAAUUAAUUAUUUUUGGUGAUAACGAAGUAAUCCUUUUGGCCUUUUUUUGGUUAAAAAAGCAUUUUUUUCAGGUCUGCAAUCGUGCUCGUAGUUAUAAAUUGUUGGCUGCUGAAGGAAGGGUUGACAGUCCAGUAUUGAUCUCCCUGACGCAACACACAAAGAUAACUCUUUCACCUCGAAGCACCUUUCUGAGGCUCCCGUUAGCCCUUUUUGCCACCUUCUUGUGAGGAUUUAAUGCUCUCGUGGCACCUUCCGUGCAGUCCUGGCGAUGAUGGGGCUGUUCUCCAGCAC